AACACAUGCGCAAAGAGGGAGGAUCUCAACAGGCUUCUCUCUCGCGAGGGAGUGUCUGGUUCUCGAACAACAUUGUCCUUGUCCGCCAAUUAGGUCAUAUUAGUGGGAAUCUAUUUACACGGAGAGGAAUUAUGGAAAGAUACAACUUUGAGGUUUGGACGUCACUCUACAGAUGAACCCUCUAUCCUGACACCUCUGGAGCAGUGCUGCAGGAUCCGUCACUCUACCCUCCUGUGUCUGUCUGCGUCUCCUCUCCCUGCCCCAGUACAGUCUGAUGUCAUGAGGGACUUUUUCAUGAUCCUCUAUUCCUGUGGCCCCUCUCCACCCUGGACCAUCGCCUAGCAACCGUGCUCAGAACCUUUGAGCCGUUGCCAGGAUCAACAGUGUAGCCUCCAUGGACGAGGACAAUGACCCAAAACACACCUCCAGGCUGUGUAAGGGCUAUUUGACCAAGAAUGAGAGUGAUGGAGUGCUGCAUCAGAUGACCUGGCAUCUACAAUCACCAGAUCUCAAACCAAUUGAGAUGGUUUGGGAUGAGCUGGACCGCAGAGUGAAGGAAAAGCUGCCAAAAAGGGCUCAGCAUAUGUGGGAACUCUGUGGGAGCAAGAUGUACAUAUAGGAAGAAACAUAAUACUGUACCACAAGAGAAAGAUACACUUACGAGUGCAUUUGCCAUUCUGGUAAAAUGCAUUGUCUUUUGUAUAGGACAGGAAGCCAAAGUAAGGCCAUGAGAGCAUAGGACAGCUGGACAUACCAAGGUCAGAGGGACAUACAAAGGAGGGGGUCAGCCAAAUGACCAACUGAUGGACUAUAGACAUAGGGCAUAUAUUUUUAGGACAUGAACAGAAGAGACACAAAGUCUACUAGUCCUAAUAAGGACAAGCCAAACAUAAGGGGGCCAUAGGAUAAGAUGGGCAUGUAUUAUUUUUGUGACAUGAAGAGGUCCUGUCACCAUUAUAACUUGACUGAAAGCAGAUAUGGGCGUUAUCGAGCUGAACAAGCAGGAUGCACAGAUUGGGAUAUAAUGGUGGCAGAUGGACUGAGGGAAGUAACUCCAUUUGCAUGUGGGAUGGACUCAUAUGUUGUAUGUGUAUAAAUCAGCCAGUGCUCUGGAAAAGUGUGUGUUCCGCGGACCAUCUAGGCUUCUGAUAUGUUUGUAUUAAAAGCCUAUAUUUAAUUCACAAGUUGUUGCAAGUGUUAUAUUUUGUAACGAUCCUCCACGACAUCUCCUUCAAGAAUGUUGGAAAAGCAUUCCAGGUCACUACCUCAUGAAGUUGGUUGAGAUUAUACCAAGAGUGUGCAAAGCUGUCAUCAAGGCACAGGGUGGCUACCUUGAAAAAUUGAACAUAUAUUUUGCUUACAACAUUAUUCCAUAUGUGUUAUUCCAUAGUUUUGAUGUCUUCACUAUUAUCCUACAAUGUAGAAAACAGUCAAAUAAAGAAAAGCCCUGUAAU
Long non-coding RNA from Oncorhynchus kisutch (coho salmon), 1454 nucleotides. RefSeq lists it as uncharacterized. Lineage: Eukaryota; Metazoa; Chordata; Actinopteri; Salmoniformes; Salmonidae. The transcript has 4 exons. The record is from RefSeq and is a predicted model, not a curated record.